Molecule: long non-coding RNA, 2292 nt
Organism: Saccostrea cuccullata (small rock oyster)
Lineage: Eukaryota; Metazoa; Mollusca; Bivalvia; Ostreida; Ostreidae
Exons: 6
Source: RefSeq, a predicted model, not a curated record
GUAUAUUCAAUAUCUUGUGAUGUAUAUUCGAAAUCUUGUGAUGUAUAUUCUAUAAUCUUGUGAUGUAUGUUCGAAAUCUUGUGAUGUAUAUUCGAAAUCUUGUGAUGUAUGUUUGAUAAUCUUGUGAUGUAUAUUCGAAAUCUUGUGAUGUAUGUUCGAUAAUCUUGUGAUGUAUAUUCGAAAUCUUGUGAUGUGUGUUCUACAAUUCAGUGAUGCGUGCAAUAAAAUUGCAUGACGCAACAGAAAAGUAAGGACAAUUUUCAUUGGUUAGAAAUAACGAAAGUAGCCGGAGCGGUCGUAAUGCACACAUUGACACAACUUCGCAAGCAUGAAAUUGACGAAUUCAACCUAAAGUCAAAAUUAUAGGAACUUUACGUAGGUCUACAGUUUUAAUUUUGGACUCAUGCACUAGGAAUAUCAUAUCAGCAGAAUUGUGCCACUGAAUCAAAGGGAACUCUUUUUUUUUAGGUACGCAUGAUCGAUGUAACUUCCUCGAUGGUGUGUUGGCUGUUUGCCCAUGUGUAUUUCGGGGUAUAGGAGUAGCCUCCCCUUUUAAAGAUCAAAAAUGGUGAUUUUACAGUGCGGCAUGCAGUCUGGUCUUCAACGAAGAGUUUUGACACCUGUAAUACCCAUAUUUCUACCAUUCACCUCUGUAACCUUUGUUGAGUUCAUCAGACUGUCACUAGGCAACACUAAAGAUUUCCACUUAUUGCUUUUCUGUCCAAGACAGGAAGUUGAGGAACAAAGUUGACAGGACAUCCUGAACUGUCUUCGCUACCAGCUUAUGAGGGAACCAGCUGCAGUGGACAAAGUAUGUUACAUCAUAGGAUAAUAGCAUUGAAUUGGAUUCUUGAACCAGAGCCAUGUGAACCUGGUCCACCUGUACCUCUCAUUGAAGACCUGUUAACAUCACCAGAGUAUGUUCAUUCUGAUACCCCUAUGGUAUGGUUACAGCAUGCAUUAUCCCUGAAUCCAUUAAAAGAGCUGCAUUGGCAAUGAAACAACCCAAUGUGGUCGAUUGUAAGGAAACAUAGCAUAUCAGCUUCCAACUUUGGUGCAGUUCUCAGUUCUAAGCAAAGGCGAUUGACAUUGUCACUGAAGAAACAGCUGAUGUCGGCUUACAAUCUGGAGUCCAUCAAGGCUGUUGCAUGGGGUAUCACUCAUGAAGAUGAUGCUUUGAGAAAGUAUGAAAAGGACUUUGAUGCAGCUGUAGAGCAGUCAGGUAUACAGCACAAAAUAACAUUCAUUCAACCUCUGACAUGUUAACAUUCAAUGUGUCAAAACAAAUAACAGGACUUAUCCUGGUAAAAAAACAGAAAUCAAUUACUGAAGUCUAAUUGUAAAAAAAAAACUAGAAAUAUGUCCAUAGGACAUGAAUGCCCCGCCGAGGAUAUAUUAGUAAAGCAACAUGAAAUUUGUACAUGUAUAAAAUUUGAUCAGUUUGGUUCAGGCAGGGCUUAUAGUUAGUUGGGAAUAAAAAUGUAGGUCCAGCAUCCAAAGCAAGUCUGGUAGUGUCCAUCCCUAGAUGCAUCAUCCAUGCAAGUUUGGUUCAGGUAGGGUUUAUAGUUACUUGGGAAUGAAAAUAUAGGUCAGAUCCAGCAUCCGAAGCAAGUCUGGUAGUGUCCAUCCCUAGCUGCAUCAUCCAUGCAAGUUUGGUUUAGGUAGGGCUUAUAGUUACUUGGGAAUGAAAAUGUGAGUCAGAUCCAGCAUCCGAAGCAAGUCUGGUAGUGUCCAUCCCUAGAUGCAUCAUCCAUGCAAGUUUGGUCUAAGUAGGGCUGAUAGUUCCUUAGGAAUAAAUCUGCUCCAAAAACUUCAACCUGGUCACUCAUCUGGAAAAUGUAGGUCAGAUCCAGCAUCCGAAGCAAGUCUGGUAGUGUCCAUCCUUAGAUGCAUCAUCCAAGCAAGUUUGGUCUAAGUAGGGCUUAUAGUUCCUUAGGAAUAAAUCUGCUCCAAAAACUUCAACCUGGUCACUCAUCUGGAAAAUGUAGGUCAGAUCCAGCAUCCGAAGCAAGUCUGGUAGUGUCCAUCCUUAGAUGCAUCAUCCAAGCAAGUUUGGUCUAAGUAGGGCUUAUAGUUCCUUAAGAAUGGACCUGCUCCAAAAACUUUAAUUUGGUCACUCAUCUGGAAAAUUUAGGUCAGAUCCAGCAUCCGAAGCAAGUCCGAUAGUGUUCAUCUCUAGAUGCAUCAUCUAUGCAAGUUUGUAUCAACAUGUAAAGUUUGAUAACACCAUCUUGAAUGGUAUGUUUAAAACAGAGCUAAACACUAUUUAAGAAAAGUCAGGUCAAGGUCAAA